Long non-coding RNA from Camelus dromedarius (Arabian camel), 413 nucleotides. RefSeq lists it as uncharacterized. The transcript is spliced from 4 exons. NCBI's taxonomy places the organism in Eukaryota, Metazoa, Chordata, Mammalia, Artiodactyla, Camelidae. The record is from RefSeq and is a predicted model, not a curated record.
GCGCGUCUGCCUCCCUCCUCUCCUCCCUCCUCAGCCGCCCGGACCGGGGUUGAGCGAGGUUCUUCACCUUGCCAGGCGUCUUGGCACAGCCCAUAUCUGAACCCUUUUCUUGAACCCCUGUUGACAUCUUACCUAACCUCUGGUCCUCGGAUUCCUCACCAGUAAACUCCACGCCUGCUUAGUUCAGACCUUUGCACUUGGGGUCCUAUUCACCAACAGCUGGAGAAGCAGCUCAGUCUGCUGGUACCAGGCAUGGGGGAUCAUGACAACUCACUCUUCCAGUGAAAUCAUGCAUUCAUCAAGGGGAAAUUGCAUCGGAAAGAGCUCCUACUGGAUUCUAAAGUCCUUGAUCUUAGGGACCCUUGUCCCCUGCUCACUGGCCCAUCUCCAGCAGCCCAGAACUUUGCCGAGCA